Molecule: ribosomal RNA, 230 nt
Filed under: uncultured bacterium
Lineage: Bacteria
Description: partial 16S ribosomal RNA
Rfam family: Bacterial small subunit ribosomal RNA
Source: RNAcentral
AAAGCGUGCGCAGGCGGUAAUGUAAGACAGAUGUGAAAUCCCCGGGCUCAACCUGGGAACUGCAUUUGUGACUGCAUUGCUGGAGUGCGGCAGAGGGGGAUGGAAUUCCGCGUGUAGCAGUGAAAUGCGUAGAUAUGCGGAGGAACACCGAUGGCGAAGGCAAUCCCCUGGGCCUGCACUGACGCUCAUGCACGAAAGCGUGGGGAGCAAACAGGAUUAGAUACCCUAGU